Molecule: long non-coding RNA, 2151 nt
Filed under: Salmo salar (Atlantic salmon)
Lineage: Eukaryota; Metazoa; Chordata; Actinopteri; Salmoniformes; Salmonidae
Description: lncRNA (ENSSSAG00000114698.1)
Source: RNAcentral
CUGGUUGAUGCGCCACCUUAGCUCCCCUUUGCUCCUCCUGUCCCUCUCCAUCAAUGAAGAACCCUCCUCCAAAGUCGACUGUUUUUUGCGACUUUAGCCGAGGUGCCACCCCGCUCUCUUGCCAAUGGUCUACUAGCCAGUCGGGGAUUGCCUCAGCAUCAGAGCCCGCUGUCUGUUCCGCUCGAUCUUAGCUUUCAUUGCAGUUUUUGGCUUUGGACUCCAAAAGAGAAGCGUCAUUCACUGGUGUGUAGAAGCUCCAAUAGAUCCAUCCCAAAAAGCAGGAGCUAAGUGUGUGUGCUUACAUUGUGACUGAUGCCGGAGUGUGUUGCAACUGAUCCAAAAAAGUAACCCUGUGCUGCCUCUUCUUUCAAUCUUUCUCUAAUCAAAGCAAAAGUUUAAAUCCACUUUCAUCAAUAAUUCUAUAUUUUCCUGAACUCGAUCCAUAACUUUAUUCGUAUCGCCAGUUCCUAUGCCCAUUCAUCAUUAAGUGAUCACAAACACAAGUUACAAACAUUUAAAGCAUUUAUUUAACAAUGACAAAUUGUAGCUUAUAUUUCCAAUGGACAGUUUCUUACAGAAAGGAAUACGUUUUCAAUGAAACUACAUAAACGUUUCAUGUAGAAACUACCAAUCUGAAGUAUAUGUACUGGACUGAACAGAAAUGUGGAAGUGUGCUAUAGGUAUCCUAUAGAAUACUCUCUGGCUGUGGUCUGAUUAUCUUCUCUUCUAACAGAAGUUUGCACUCACUCCAUUACAUUAAUGUAAUCAUGGGUAGGGAGAAGUUUAAACCCUAUUUUACACCAGUCCAUUCCUUUUACAUCCAUGAGGGGGAGUAAAUGAGUGCAGAAUAAGGGUACAAAAUUGGAACAUAUUCCCAUUUUCUCUGUCACACACUAAAACGAUGUGAGGGUGCGCACACACACACACACACACACACACACACACACACACACACACACACACACACACACACACACACACACACACACAGUAUAUUGCUGCUGACAGUAUCCCUGUGCAAGUCACUCAGUUCAAAUUGACCUGUUCUCUCUUCCUCUGCAUUGCAUAAUUCUUCAUUGACCUUUUAGGAGGCACUAGGGUGUUACUCAGCCCUACUCUCCUCUUCCUAGACUGCUGACCCUCCUCUUCAGGGUCUCCUCCCUGGUUGUGGUGAAAGUUCUGGCGACCCAUGUAUGAAAAGCCCCCCGCGUUGGGGUCAGCUUGGUCCGAUCCGGGAUCGUCACCCGCAGGGGGGUCAUACUCAUUGGGAAUGAUGGAGCUCUGGAGGUCGCUGUCAUGGGCAAACUUGCAUUUGAUCCCGAACCUGCAGCGUCCGUCCUUCCUGUACGCCACGCACAUCCUCUUGCCUCCUAUCUGGGAGGGCCGGGCCAGCAGAGUGAGAGGGACGUGCUUCUGCAAGACGUUGAGCUUCUGGUCGGCUUGCGCCUUAAAGGGGUUGGCGAAUACGCCACUCUUGGAUGAGGCCCCGAGGGGUGGAGGGGGGAGUUUGUGGGAGAGGGAACUAGAGGAUGCGGGGAGGAGAGGGGUCCGGGACUCAGAGGGGGGUGCCAUACAGGCAGGAGGAGGGCAUUUAGGUUUUAGUUGAGAUACGGGGUCCCCCUCUUCCUCUGGGUUGAAGUCACAGUCUGACUCGCUGGAGGCUGACCCGGACUCUAGGAGGAAAUUGCGGCUCUUCUUCUGGGUCUCUCCAUCCACCUUGCUCUCAGUCCUUCAAAUAAACAACUUCUUGUUUCCAAUAUCCCCGUCGCUGUCAGAAUCAGAGGACACGCCAUAGCCAACGAGAAAAUUCAUGUCAGCUUGCUGCUAGCCUUACGUUAGCUAGCUAGUAUCUAUAUUUUUCCGUCUCUUCGUCCUUCUUUCGCUUUAAUCCAGUCACACAAAUUGCGGUCUUCGUCUUAUGUUUGAUUGAACUAGCAGUUAUACUCCGUAUGAAGAUGUUUGUUGUAGUUCUGUUGUUGGUGUAGCUACAAUUUGCUUAUCCAAAGGAAAGUGUAAGCGACACAACAACAAAAAAGCACCUCUGGGUCACCGAAUUUCGAAAAUCUUCAAAAUAAAAGUUCCCUGCGUACUACUACUUCUUAUUCGAUUAGGUUUAACGGCGGUUGGCAUCCAGUAAAUGUUGCAUUACCG